GUUACCCUGCAUAUACGUGAUCCAUAGGGUGAAUUCUACAUUCUGGUCAUGAACAUGCUCGGACCAAGUCUUUGGGAUAUUUGGAGUUCAUUAGGCCAAUCGAUGACACCAAAGUCGACAGCUUGUGCAUCGAAAGCUUCGCUGUGGUUUUCGUUUUUGGAUAUAAAGUAUCGGACCAGGUUUGUUAGAUCUGUUUCUUGCUGUAUUUUGGUAAAUGAAGUUGAA
Long non-coding RNA from Helianthus annuus (common sunflower), 225 nucleotides. RefSeq lists it as uncharacterized. The record is from RefSeq and is a predicted model, not a curated record. The transcript is spliced from 3 exons. NCBI's taxonomy places the organism in Eukaryota, Viridiplantae, Streptophyta, Magnoliopsida, Asterales, Asteraceae.